Molecule: ribosomal RNA, 467 nt
Filed under: uncultured bacterium
Lineage: Bacteria
Description: partial 16S ribosomal RNA
Rfam family: Bacterial small subunit ribosomal RNA
Source: RNAcentral
GAUGAACGCUGGCGGCGCGCCUAACACAUGCAAGUCGAACGAUUAAAGCACCUUCGGGUGUGUAUAAAGUGGCGAACGGCUGAGUAACACGUGGGCAACCUGCCCCCUUCAUUGGGAUAGCCACGGGAAACCGUGGAUAAUACCGAAUACUUCGAGACUUCCGCAUGGAAGACUCGAGAAAGCUCCGGCGGAGAGGGAUGGGCCCGCGGCCUGUUAGCUUGUUGGUGGGGUAACGGCCUACCAAGGCAAUGAUGGGUAGCUGGGUUGAGAGACCGACCAGCCAGAUUGGGACUGAGACACGGCCCAGACUCCUACGGGAGGCAGCAGUGGGGAAUCUUGCACAAUGGGCGAAAGCCUGAUGCAGCGACGCCGCGUGCGGGAUGAAGGCCCUCGGGUUGUAAACCGCUUUCAGCAGGGACGAGGCGAAAGUGACGGUACCUGCAGAAGAAGCCCCGGCUAACUACGUG